Molecule: unclassified non-coding RNA, 379 nt
Filed under: soil metagenome
Description: partial contains 5.8S ribosomal RNA, internal transcribed spacer 2, and large subunit ribosomal RNA
Rfam family: 5.8S ribosomal RNA (bases 1-120)
Source: RNAcentral
GAUGAAGAACGUAGCGAAAUGCGAUAAGUAAUGUGAAUUGCAGAAUUCAGUGAAUCAUCGAAUCUUUGAACGCACAUUGCGCCCACCAGUAUUCUGGCGGGCAUGCCUGUUCGAGCGUCAUUUCAACCCUCAGGUCCCCCUUUUCGGAGGGGGAGACACCCUGGUGUUGGGGGACGGCAUCCUGGCCCGCUGUCUCACAGUGUGCCACGCCGCCCCCGAAAUGAAUUGGCGGCCUCGUCGCGUGCCACCCCUGCGUAGUAGCACAACCUCGCAACGGGAGCCCGACGCGGCCACUGCCGUAAAACGCCCAACUUUUACCGAGUUGACCUCGAAUCAGGUAGGAAUACCCGCUGAACUUAAGCAUAUCAAUAAGCGGAGA